Molecule: ribosomal RNA, 253 nt
Filed under: uncultured bacterium
Lineage: Bacteria
Description: partial 16S ribosomal RNA
Rfam family: Bacterial small subunit ribosomal RNA
Source: RNAcentral
UACGUGAGCCCCAAGCGUUAUCCGGAAUUACUGGGCGUAAAGAGUGCGUAGGCGGUCGUGUUAGUCUUCUGUUCAAUCCAUCGGCUCAACCGGUGAACCGCAGAGGAAACGGCACGACUGGAGUGUGUGAGAGGUUUGCGGAACUCAUGGUGUAGGGGUGAAAUCCGUUGAUAUCAUGGGGAACACCAAAUGCGAAGGCAGCAAACUGGCGCAUCACUGACGCUGAGGCACGAAAGCGUGGGUAGCGAAUGGG